RNAcentral lists this transfer RNA (83 nucleotides) under Prototheca zopfii. Its description in RNAcentral is "tRNA-Leu". It matches the Rfam family "tRNA". Rfam says of the family: Transfer RNA (tRNA) molecules are approximately 80 nucleotides in length. The record is from RNAcentral. Lineage: Eukaryota; Viridiplantae; Chlorophyta; Trebouxiophyceae; Chlorellales; Chlorellaceae.
GGGGAUAUGGCGGAAUUGGUAGACGCGUCGGGCUUAAAACCUGCUGGUAAUUUGCCGUAAGAGUUCGAGUCUCUUUAUCCUCA